AACGAACGCUGGCGGCAUGCCUAACACAUGCAAGUCGAACGAGAUCUUCGGGUCUAGUGGCGCACGGGUGCGUAACGCGUGGGAAUCUGCCCUUUGGUUCGGAAUAACAGUUGGAAACGACUGCUAAUACCGGAUGAUGACGAAAGUCCAAAGAUUUAUCGCCAGAGGAUGAGCCCGCGUAGGAUUAGCUAGUUGGUGUGGUAAAGGCGCACCAAGGCGACGAUCCUUAGCUGGUCUGAGAGGAUGAUCAGCCACACUGGGACUGAGACACGGCCCAGACUCCUACGGGAGGCAGCAGUGGGGAAUAUUGGAUAAUGGGCGAAAGCCCGAUCCAGCAAUGCCGCGUGAGUGAUGAAGGCCUUAGGGUUGUAAAGCUCUUUUACCCGGGAUGAUAAUGACAGUACCGGGAGAAUAAGCUCCGGCUAACUCCGUGCCAGCAGCCGCGGUAA
Molecule: ribosomal RNA, 449 nt
Filed under: uncultured bacterium
Lineage: Bacteria
Description: partial 16S ribosomal RNA
Rfam family: Bacterial small subunit ribosomal RNA
Source: RNAcentral